This 299-nucleotide long non-coding RNA is filed under the name Fukomys damarensis (Damara mole-rat). RNAcentral describes it as "lncRNA (ENSFDAG00000031822.1)". The record is from RNAcentral. Lineage: Eukaryota; Metazoa; Chordata; Mammalia; Rodentia; Bathyergidae.
CUCUCUUAGAACAUGUUAGCCUCUUCUCACAAUAUUACUUUUAUCUUCAUUUCUUAACUACAAUCUGCUUUUUAUCCUGAGGACAAUUACCUCUGAGUAGUCCUCCCAAGAGGAGGGUGCUCAUUCAUUCACCUCCCUCUGUCACCUUAUCACCCGUGUUAUUGAAGACGAUCUCACUGCCUACUCUGCAGAGUUAAGAAUCAAGAGAACAGAUGAAGAGUACUGGAUGAAAAAGUGUUACUGCAUUUGAAAUCCACCAAGCUGAAUGUCACUGGGAACUGAAGUAUUACAGAUCUGAC